AAAUUGAAGAGUUUGAUCAUGGCUCAGAUUGAACGCUGGCGGCAGGCCUAACACAUGCAAGUCGAACGGUAACAGGAAGCAGCUUGCUGCUUCGCUGACGAGUGGCGGACGGGUGAGUAAUGUCUGGGAAACUGCCUGAUGGAGGGGGAUAACUACUGGAAACGGUGGCUAAUACCGCAUAACGUCGCAAGACCAAAGAGGGGGACCUUCGGGCCUCUUGCCAUCAGAUGUGCCCAGAUGGGAUUAGCUAGUUGGUGAGGUAACGGCUCACCAAGGCGACGAUCCCUAGCUGGUCUGAGAGGAUGACCAGCCACACUGGAACUGAGACACGGUCCAGACUCCUACGGGAGGCAGCAGUGGGGAAUAUUGCACAAUGGGCGCAAGCCUGAUGCAGCCAUGCCGCGUGUAUGAAGAAGGCCUUCGGGUUGUAAAGUACUUUCAGCGGGGAGGAAGGUGUUGUGGUUAAUAACCGCAGCAAUUGACGUUACCCGCAGAAGAAGCACCGGCUAACUCCGUGCCAGCAGCCGCGGUAAUACGGAGGGUGCAAGCGUUAAUCGGAAUUACUGGGCGUAAAGCGCACGCAGGCGGUCUGUCAAGUCGGAUGUGAAAUCCCCGGGCUCAACCUGGGAACUGCAUUCGAAACUGGCAGGCUUGAGUCUUGUAGAGGGGGGUAGAAUUCCAGGUGUAGCGGUGAAAUGCGUAGAGAUCUGGAGGAAUACCGGUGGCGAAGGCGGCCCCCUGGACAAAGACUGACGCUCAGGUGCGAAAGCGUGGGGAGCAAACAGGAUUAGAUACCCUGGUAGUCCACGCCGUAAACGAUGUCUACUUGGAGGUUGUGCCCUUGAGGCGUGGCUUCCGGAGCUAACGCGUUAAGUAGACCGCCUGGGGAGUACGGCCGCAAGGUUAAAACUCAAAUGAAUUGACGGGGGCCCGCACAAGCGGUGGAGCAUGUGGUUUAAUUCGAUGCAACGCGAAGAACCUUACCUGGUCUUGACAUCCACAGAAGAAUCCAGAGAUGGAUUUGUGCCUUCGGGAACUGUGAGACAGGUGCUGCAUGGCUGUCGUCAGCUCGUGUUGUGAAAUGUUGGGUUAAGUCCCGCAACGAGCGCAACCCUUAUCCUUUGUUGCCAGCGGUUAGGCCGGGAACUCAAAGGAGACUGCCAGUGAUAAACUGGAGGAAGGUGGGGAUGACGUCAAGUCAUCAUGGCCCUUACGACCAGGGCUACACACGUGCUACAAUGGCGCAUACAAAGAGAAGCGACCUCGCGAGAGCAAGCGGACCUCAUAAAGUGCGUCGUAGUCCGGAUUGGAGUCUGCAACUCGACUCCAUGAAGUCGGAAUCGCUAGUAAUCGUGGAUCAGAAUGCCACGGUGAAUACGUUCCCGGGCCUUGUACACACCGCCCGUCACACCAUGGGAGUGGGUUGCAAAAGAAGUAGGUAGCUUAACCUUCGGGAGGGCGCUUACCACUUUGUGAUUCAUGACUGGGGUGAAGUCGUAACAAGGUAACCGUAGGGGAACCUGCGGUUGGAUCACCUCCUUACCUUAAAGAA
RNAcentral lists this ribosomal RNA (1552 nucleotides) under Salmonella enterica subsp. enterica serovar Anatum. RNAcentral's name for it is "bacterial SSU rRNA". It matches the Rfam family "Bacterial small subunit ribosomal RNA". Lineage: Bacteria; Pseudomonadati; Pseudomonadota; Gammaproteobacteria; Enterobacterales; Enterobacteriaceae. The record is from RNAcentral. RNAcentral also lists the same sequence under 4 other names.